This 331-nucleotide unclassified non-coding RNA is filed under the name soil metagenome. Its description in RNAcentral is "partial contains 5.8S ribosomal RNA, internal transcribed spacer 2, and large subunit ribosomal RNA". The stretch from base 1 to 120 matches the Rfam family "5.8S ribosomal RNA", at positions 35 to 154 of the family's 154-position model. The record is from RNAcentral.
GAUGAAGAACGUAGCGAAAUGCGAUACGUAGUGUGAAUUGCAGAAUUCCGUGAACCAUCGAAUCUUUGAACGCAAAUUGCGCCCCCUGGUAUUCCGGGGGGCAUGCCUGUUCGAGCGUCAUUUCACCACUCAAGCCUCGCUUGGUAUUGGGCAACGCGGUCCGCCGCGUGCCUCAAAUCGACCGGCUGGGUCUUCUGUCCCCUAAGCGUUGUGGAAACUAUUCGCUAAAGGGUGUUCGGGAGGCUACGCCGUAAAACAACCCCAUUUCUAAGGUUGACCUCGGAUCAGGUAGGGAUACCCGCUGAACUUAAGCAUAUCAAUAAGCGGAGGA